Molecule: ribosomal RNA, 326 nt
Filed under: uncultured eukaryote
Lineage: Eukaryota
Description: partial 18S ribosomal RNA
Rfam family: Eukaryotic small subunit ribosomal RNA
Source: RNAcentral
CCCUUAGAUGUUCUGGGCUGCACGCGCGCUACACUGAUGCGCUCAACGAGUUUAUGACCUUGCCCGGAAGGGUUGGGUAAUCUUUUCAAAACGCAUCGUGAUGGGGAUAGAUUAUUGCAAUUAUUAAUCUUCAACGAGGAAUUCCUAGUAAGCGCGAGUCAUCAGCUCGUGCUGAUUACGUCCCUGCCCUUUGUACACACCGCCCGUCGCUCCUACCGACUGAGUGAUCCGGUGAAUAAUUCGGACUGCGGCAAUGUUCAGCUCCUGAAUGUUGCUGCGGAAAGUUUAGUGAACCUUAUCACUUAGAGGAAGGAGAAGUCGUAACA